RNAcentral lists this ribosomal RNA (502 nucleotides) under uncultured bacterium. RNAcentral's name for it is "partial 16S ribosomal RNA". It matches the Rfam family "Bacterial small subunit ribosomal RNA", at positions 28 to 507 of the family's 1533-position model. The record is from RNAcentral.
GACGAACGCUGGCGGCGUGCUUAACACAUGCAAGUCGAACGGUGAAGGGGCCUGCUUUUGUGGGCCCUGGAUGAGUGGCGAACGGGUGAGUAACACGUGAGUAACCUGCCCCCUUCUUCUGGAUAACCGCAUGAAAGUGUGGCUAAUACGGGAUAUUCUGGGUCUGUCGCAUGAUGGGUCUGGGAAAGAUUGCGCCUUUGGGUGUUUUUGGUGGGGGAUGGGCUCGCGGCCUAUCAGCUUGUUGGUGGGGUGAUGGCCUACCAAGGCGGUGACGGGUAGCCGGCCUGAGAGGGUGGACGGUCACACUGGGACUGAGACACGGCCCAGACUCCUACGGGAGGCGGCAGUGGGGAAUAUUGCACAAUGGGCGCAAGCCUGAUGCAGCGACGCCGCGUGAGGGAUGGAGGCCUUCGGGGUGUAAACCUCUUUCGCCAGUGAAGCAGGCCUGCUCCUUGUGGGUGGGUUGACGGUAGCUGGAGAAGAAGCGCCGGCUAACUACGUG